Molecule: transfer RNA, 20 nt
Filed under: Cissus gongylodes
Lineage: Eukaryota; Viridiplantae; Streptophyta; Magnoliopsida; Vitales; Vitaceae
Description: partial tRNA-Phe
Source: RNAcentral
UUUUUAAUUGACAUAGACCA